UCCCGCCCCGCCCCCGGCGGCGGAACCCCGCCCCCUGGGCGCAGUCGGCCCGGUCGCCGCCAUUUUGGGAAGGUCGACGGCCGGCGGCCAGCCCAAGUCGCGGACGCCAUGACAAAGAGGUCGCAGAGGGUCAAGACACAGCCUCUGGAUAGAAGCCGUGGAUACGGGAGCGGGAGUGAAGGCGCCGAAAGAAGUGGCUGGAGCGCCAUGAUCAUAGCUCACUGCAGCUUGGAACUCCUGGGUUUAAAGGAUCCUCCCAUCUGAGUCUCCUUAGUAUCUGGGAUUACAGUAAUGUUCAGCUGCUCAGGUGCAGUUAUGACUGAUAGCUGGGUUCACUCAGGCUUAAGGAUCAGCCAGGCAAGUAAACUGGAGAGGGAGGGAGAUAAACAGCCAAGUUUGUUGACAGCGUUUGGAGAGAAGGGUUGUACAGUCAUGCACUAUUCUCUAAGCUCAGAAGAGAAGAGGGAACGGGAGGGAAAUGAUGUUCUGGUACCCAGAACAGGGUCUUGGGGUGGAAGAGCUGCAUGGUGUGAACACUAAAGCCAGUAAGCUAGCAGGAGAAAAAAUGGUGGUCAGGUACGUGUCUGGAAACUGAGAAUCAGGGUGUGGUGUGGUUUUGGGUGACGAGACUGUCUCAUGGGAACAUAGGCCAGCAGGUGGGAAGGGGAGGAGAGGAAGUCAAGUGGGUGACAGGCAUGGGUACUGAUGGGUCACCCACAUGAGUAAUUAGGUCCCCAGGAGGGCUGGAGUAGAAGGAAGACAAGGGCUGUGAGCCAGGAAGCACAGUCCAUGAUGAGUGGGUCUGAGGGUCACAGCACCAAAGCAAGUGCUGCAGCUGACGGCAUUAACUUCAAACCAGCUAGGGGCUGACUGGGCGCGGCAGCUCACACCUGUGAUCUCCAAACUUUGCGAAGCCAAGAAUGAGCAGAUCACUUGAGUCCAGCAGUUUAACCAGCCUGGCCAACAUGGUGAAACCCCGUCUCUACUGAAAAUAUAAAACUUAGCCAGUUAUGGUGGUGGGCACCUGUAAUUCCAGCUACUCAGGAGGCUGAAGCAGGAGAAUCAAUUGAACCUGGGAGGCGGAGGCUACAAUGAGCCAAGAUCAUGCCACUGCACUCCAGUCUCAGUGACAGAGCCAGACUCAGUGUCAAAAAAAAAACAACAAAAAAGGCUGGGCACAUUGUCUCACUCCUGUAAUCCCAGCAGGUUGGGAGGCUGAGGUCAGGAGUUCUAGAGCAGCCUGGGCAACAUGGUAAAAUCCCGCCUCUACUAAAAAUACAAAAAUUAGGCCGGGUGCGGUGGCUCAUGCCUGUAAUCCCAGCACUUUGAAAGGCCAGAGCGGGUGAAUCACAAGGUCAGGAGUUCAAGACCAGCCUGACCAACAUGGUGAAACCCCAUCUCUACCAAAAAUACAAAAAAUUAGCUGGGCAUGGUGACAGGCACCUAUAAUCACAGCUACUCAAGAGACUGAGGCAGAGAAUUGCUUGAACCCGGGAGGCAGAGGUUGCAGUCAGCUAAGAUAACACCACUGCACUCUAGCCUGGGUGACAAAGCGAGACUUCAUCUCAAAAAAAAAAAAAAAAAUUAGCUGGGCAUGGUCCACUUGGGAGGCUGAGGCAGGAGGAUUGCUUGAACCCAGGAAGCAGAGGUUGCAGUGAGCCAAGAUCUCCCCACUGCAAUUUAGCCUGGGCAAAAGAGCAAGACUCUGUCUCAAAACACAGAAAAAAAAAAAAAAGGAAAAAAUUUUAAAAAGCUAGGGCCCAGGUGCAGUGGCUCACAAGUGUAAUCCCAACACUCUGGGAGGCCAAGCAGGAAAAGAUGGCUUCAGGCCAAGAGUUUGACAAGCUGCUUGUUUUUCUUUUGAGAUGGAGUCUCACUCUGUCGCCCAGUCUGGAGUACAAUGGCAGGAUCUUGGCUCACCACAGUCUCUGCCUCUGGGUUCAGGCAUCUCCUUCUGAGUAGCUGGGACUACAUGCCAGGCCAAUUUUUGUGUUACUAGUAGAGUCACGGUUUCACCGUUGGCCAGGCUGGUCUCGAACUCCUGAUCUUAGGUCAUCUGCCCGCCUUGGCCUCCCAAUGAGCUGGGAUUACAGGCAUGAGCCACCAUGCCUGGUGAAGACCCUGUUUCUAAAAGAAACAAAAAAAUUGGCCAGGUGUGGUAGCUCAUACCUGUAAUCCAGUACAUUGGGAACCCGAGGUGGGUGGAUAACUUGAGUUUGGGAGUUUGAGACCACCCUGGCCAAUGUAGUGAAACUUCAUCUCUACUAAAAAUACAAAAUUUGGCCAGGCACAGUGGCUCACACCUGUAAUCCCAGCACUUUGGGAGGCCGAGGUGGGCAGAUCAUGAGGUCAGGAGUUCCAGACCAGCCUGGCCAACAUAGGGAAACCCCUUCUCUACUAAAAAUACGAAAAUUAGCCGGGCAUGGUGGCAGGCACCUGGAGUCCCAGAUACUUGGGAGGCUUUGGUGGGAGAAUCGUGUGAACCCUGGAGGCAGAGUUUGCACUGAGCCGAGAACACACCAUUGCCCUCCAGCUUGGGUGACAGAGUAAGACUCUGUCUCAAAACAAAACAAAAAAGCUAGAAUUAGGGGAAGGAAAAGGAGGAGAAAGGGUUGAAAAAGUUAAGACUCAACAAUGGGGAACGAGGAGAAUAUGCUACAUCUGCUGGCUUUGAGAGAAGAGACAGCUUUCCCUUGAGGGGAAUCCUCAGAAAAGAGCCAAGUUCAGGUAAGGUUAGCAAGGGGGGAAGAGUCCCAUUAACACCUUAAACUGCCCACAACCAAACUCUCUGUCUUCUCCCCAGUCCUACUCUGCCAUAACCAAUGAUAUCCAGUCACCUUGGUCAGAAGGAGGAAAGUCACCCUUGAUGCUCCCUCCUCUCUCUUCUACAUCUCAUGGAUCACCAAGGCCUCAAUGUUCUUGUGGACACUCUUAAUCCAGGUCUGGGUGACUGCCACGACCUCCCUUAGGACCUCUUCCCUCCCUCCUUCAUCUGUUCUCUGCAGCCACAGCAAAACAUUCAAAAAUACAAAUCUGCCAGACACAGUGGCUCAUGCCUGUAAUCCCAGCAGUUUUGGGAGGCUGAGGCACAUGGAUCACUUGAGGUCAGGAGUUCAAGACCAGCCUGGCCAAGAUGGUGAAACCUCGUCGCUACUUAAAGUGCAAAAAUUAGCUGGGCAUGGUGGUGGGCACCUGUAAUCCCAACUACUUGGGAGGCUGAGGCAGGAGAAUUGCUGGAACCCAGGAGGUGGAGGUUGCAGUGAGCCGAGAUCGCAGCACAGCCCUCCAGCCUGGGUGACAGAGCAAGACUCCGUCUCAAAACAAAAAAAAAAUCUGUUAUGGUUCUGUUCCUAUUGAAAACUCUUCAGGAGCCUCCCACUGUUUUAGGAUGAGGUCCAUGCUCCCCAUUUUUGUUUUUUGUUUUUGUUAUUUUUGGGGGAUAGAGUCUCAUUCUGUUGCUGAGGUUGGCAUGCAGUGGUGAGGUCUAUGCUCACUGCACCCUCUGCCUCCUGGAUUCAAGUGAUUCUCCCACCUCAGCCUCCUGAGUAGCUGCGAUUACAGACGUGCUCCACAGUGCUGGGCUAAUUUUAGUAUUUUUAGUAGAGAUAGGAUUUCACCAUGUUGGCUAGGAUGGUCUCAGACUCCUGAUCUCAAGUGAUCGCCUGCCUCAGCCUCCUAAAGUGCUGGGAUCACAGGUGUGAGCCACCAUGCCUGGCUCCAUUUUUUAUUUAAUGCCUUACCUUCACAGUCUAGUCUCCAGGGAUGCUCUGGCCUCAUCCUGACACUCUAUACUUCUGACACACUACACUUCUUUCCUUCCUCCCAAAGGUCUUUCCUUCUGCUGUUCCGGUAGCUUAAACUGUCUUCUCUGCUAGAUGUAUGUGGUUCAUACCUGCUAAUCCGUCUUUGCAAUUCUUGAAAGAAGCAAACUUCCUCCAAAAUACCUUUCACAAUCUCUAAUCUUAUCUUCCCUGUUUCCUCCAGCAUGUAUUACAUCUCUUAUCCUAGCAUUUGUCAUCUCGUCCUGCAAUUGAUCAGUUUUCUUUUCUGUAUAUAAGCUUGUGAUGCCAGGACUCUCUUUCAUGUCUUUGUUCUCAGAGCUUAAUGUUGCUACAGAGUAGCACCUAACAAAUAUCUCUUGAAUGAACUAAUGAAUCCUAUAAAAUUAAUAACAGGGGAAUUUGUCAAGAUUACUGUAGGACUAUGCUUAUUAAAUUUGGUAUUCCGGUUUAUGCACCUGUCAGAGGGUGGUACUAAAUGGUGUGCCUCAUGGUUUUUUUUUAAUCCAAAAUAAAGUUAGUAAAGUUAAUAGAGGCUUAUUAUAUGUUCUUGACAAUACAGAAUAAGCCACUGUUAACUUUACUAACUUUUUUAUGUUAAAAAAGUAAAAAAUAAUAAUGAAAAGCAAAUAAGCCAGAUGUGAUGGCCCAUCACUGUAAUCCCAGCAUUUUGAGAAGCUGAGGCAGGCAGAUUGGGUAAGCUCAGGCCUUCGAGGUGAAACCCCAUCUCUACUACAAAUACAAAAAGUUAGCUGGGUGGGCGCCUGUAAUCCCAGCUACUCAGGUGGCUGAGGAAGGAAAAUUGCUUGAAGCUGGGAGGUAGAAGUUGCCAUGAGCUGAGAUCUCAUCACUGCACUCCAGUCUGGGCGACAGAAUGAGACCCAGUCAAAAAAAAAGGAAAUAUACAACUUUUGUUGUUGUUGUUGAGACGGAGUUUCGCUCUUGUUACCCAGGCUGGGGUGCAAUGGCACGAUCUCGGCUCACCGCAACCUCUGCCUCAUGGGUUCAAGCAAUUCUCCCACCUCAGCCUCCUGAGUAGCUGAGAUUGCAGGCAAGCGCCACCAUGCCCAGCUAAUUUUUGUAUUUUUAGUAGAGACGGGGUUUCACCAUGUUGACCAGGAUGGUCUCAAUCUCUUGACCUCAUGAUCUACUUGCCUCAGCCUCCCAGAGUGCUGGGAUUACAGGCUUGAGCCACCGUGCCCGGUGGAAAUAUACAAUUUUAAUGCUUAUACUAAGCAAUAAAGUUGGACCCCCUACCUUAUACAAAAAAAAAAAACCAAAAUGGAUCAAAGACAUAAAUACAUAAAUGUGAGAACUAAAACUAUAAACCUCUCAUAAAAAUAUAUACAAGGCUGGGCGCAGCAGCUCAUGCCUGUAGUCCCAGGACUUUGGGAGACCUAGAUGGAAGGAUUCCCAGAGGUCAGGAGUUUGAGACCAGCUGGCCAACAUAGUAAAACUCCAUCACUACUAAAAAUACAAAAAUUAGCUGGGCAUGCUGGCUCGUGCCUGUAAUCCUAGCUAUAGGAGGCGGAGGCAGGAGAAAUGCUUGAACUCAGGAGAUGGAGGUUGCCCUCCAGCCUGGGUGACAGAUCGAGACAAAAAAAAGAGAGAGAGAAAGAAAAUAGGAUACCUGCAAAGACUGAGUAGGAAAGAUUAGCUAAGGUGGUCAGGGAAAGCUUUUCCAAGGUGGUGACAUUUGAAAUGAGACCAAAUGGUGAGAAGGAGGAAGCCAUGUGAUGUUUGGGGAAGAGUGAUUCAGGCACAGGGACCAGCAGGGAGAAGACCCUGAGAGUGGUAUAAGAACAUAAGGAAAGUUUGUGAGGUGCAGGUGAAAGAAAUGGGUAGGAACAGCAGGGACAGAGAGAAGAGACAAGCCUACGUAUGCUUUCUAAGCCAAGGUGAGUAAUGGAUUUUUUUUUCCCAGAGAUGGAGUCUUGCUGUGUUGCCCAGGCUGAAGUGCAGUGGUGUGAUCAACCUCUGCCUCCUGGAUACAAACGAUUCUCCUGCCUCAGCCUCCUGAGUAGCUAGGAUUACAGGCACCCGCCACCACCCUUGGCUAAUUUUUGUAUUUUUAGUAGAGACUGACUUUCACCAUGUGGGUCAGGCUGGUCUGGAACUCCUGACCUCAGGUGAUCCGCCCACCUUGGCCUCCCAAAGUGCUAGGAUUACAGGUGUGAGCCCCUGCGCCUGGCCUCACAUGGCGUAUUUCUUGAACACUUCCUGUGGCUGGGCUUUCAGGGCUGCAUGUGUCUAUCUCAUUCAUUUUAGUGACUUCAUAGCAUUUCAUUGUAUUCACUGCAAUUUAUUUAUUUAUUUAUUGCGAUGGAGUAUCGCUCUGUUACCCAGGCUGGAGUCUCCCAGGUUCAAGUGAUUCUCCUACCUCAGCCUCCUGUGUAGCUGGGACCGCUGGCACACACCACCACAUCUGACUAACUUUUUGUUGUUGUUGUAUUUCUAGUAGAGACGGAGUUUGGCCAUGUUGGCAAGGCUGGUCUGGAACUCUUCAUCUCGUGAUCUGCCGUCCUCGGCUUCCCAAAGUGCUGGGAUUAUAGGCAUGAGUCACCAUGCCCUGCCGCCUGGCUAAUUUUUGUAUUUUUAUUAGAGUUGGGGUUUCACCAUGUUGGUCAGGCUGGUCUUGAACUCCUGACCUCAUGAUCCAUCUGCCUCAGCCUUCCAAAGUGCUGGAAUUACAAGGAUGAGCCACCACUCCCAGCCAUACUUUUUCAAUUACAAAAAAAUUUUUUUUUCUGACAUGAGGUCUCACUACAUUGCCCAGGUUGGGCUUGAACUGCUGAGCCCAAGUAAUCCUCCCUCCUUGGCCUCCCGAAGUGCUAGGAUUACAGGCAUGAGUAAUGAUUACAGGCACCCAGUCCUGUUAUGACUUUUUCAUCAUCAGAAACAACUCCAAGGAAGCAGAUGUAGCUCUUUAGAGUGACCAGGGUGGCAACAGUUCCUGGUGUGCCAUAGGUGACAUAGGCAGAAAACACAACUUCUGCGUGGAAGUCAGCCUCCGUCAGCCAGUGACUGAAGACAAUGGCUCAUAAAGGGCUUGGGAUUCCUGACCUUGAAAGGCAGGAGGGUGAUUAAAAGCAAUCACACUGUGGUAAGGGCAACCCCCUGACUUCUGUGGCUCAGGGCAUUGAUGUUUGAUGCCACUCUUCCAGGUCCACAGACAUGCUGUGAGCAGAAAAGCCCAGACUCUUGGUGUCAGCCCAGAUUGCAGAAGCCGAAGAAGUAAUGGGGCUCUUUUUGGCUGCUGUGAUGACAGCCAAGGCUUCUUCCUCCUGGCACACAGGGAGGGUCCCUUCCGGGGCCAACAGGUGUCUACUUUUUUUUUUUUUUUUUUUUUGAGAUGGAGUUUCGCUCUUGUUUCCCUGGCUGGAGUGCAAUGGCAAGAUCUCGGCUCACUACAACCUCCACCUCCCUAGUUCAAGCGAUUCUCCUGUCUCAGCCUCUCAAGUAGCUGGGAUUAUAGGCCCCCACCGCCACUCCCAGCUAAUUUUUGAAUUUUUUUUUUUAGUAGAGACAGGGUUUGGUUGGCCAGGCUGGUCUCAAGCUCCUGACCUCAGGCAAUCUGCCUGCCUUGGCCUCUCAAAGUGCUGGGAUUACAGGCAUGAGCCACUGCGCCCGGCUUUAUUUAUUUAUUUGUUUAUUUGAGACAGAGUCUCACUCUGUCACCCAGGCUGGAGUGCAGUGGCCCAAUCUCGGCUCACUGUAACCUCCGCCUCCUGGGUUCAAGCAAUUCUCUUUCUCAGCCUCCCGAGUAGCUGGGAUUAUAGGCACCCACCACCACGCCCAGCUAAUUUUUUUGUAUUUUUAGUAGAGACGGGGGUUUCACCAUCGUGGCCAGGCUGGUCUUGAACUCCUGACCUUGUAAUCCACCCACCUCAGCCUCCCAAAGUGCUGGGAUUACAGGCGUGAGCCCCUCUGCCCAGCUCUAUUUUUUUUUUUUUUUUUUUUUGAUUGCCCAGCACUGGCUAGUGAGAGAUAGUACCUGUGCUGAAAUUGCUGAUUUACUAAUCUCCUUUCCCCAAAUGGCAGUGCUGAGACUGAAGGCUGGCUCUGAAAUGUUGACAGCCUCACCUCCUGCCUGUCCACUCAGUUUUGUCAUGUAAUAAAAGGGAAAUACAACCUCACAGGAUUAUUGUGAAGAUAUAAUGAGAAAAUGCAGACAAAGGCUCAGCAGAGGCCGAGGCCUAGGUGGGCGGAUCACGAGGUCAAGAGAUUGAGACCACCCUGCCAACAUAGUGAAACCCCGUCUCUACUAAAAUACAAAAAAAAUUAGCUGAGCGUGGUGACGCAUGUCUGUACUCCCAGCUACUCAGGAGGCUGAGGCAGGAGAAUUGCUUGAACCCGGGAGGCGGAGGUUGCAGUGAGCCGAGAUUGCGCCACUGCACUCCAGCCUGGUGCCUGGUGACAGAGCAAGACUCUGACUGAAAAAAAAAAAAGGCUCUGCAGAAUACUUGGCAUGUCAUAGUUACUCAGAAAUCCCCUUCUUGCUUUCAAGGCUUAACGUACAUAUUGUCUUUUUUUUAGAGACAGAGUCUCACUCUGUCACCUAGGCUGUGGUACAGUGGCACCAUCACAGCUCACUGCAGCCUUGACAUCCUGGGCUCGCAUGAUCCUCCCACCUCAGCCUCUGGAGUAGCUGGGACUACACGCAUGUGCCCCCACACCUGGCUAAUUUUUAGAUUUCUUUUUUUUUUUUUUUUUUUUUUUUUAAGACAGAGUCUUGUGCUGUCGCCAGGCUGGAGUGCAGUGGCUCCAUCUCAGCUCAAUGCAGCCUCUGCCUCCCUGGUUCAAGCAAUUUUCCUGCCUCGGCUUCCCAAAGUGCUGGGAUUAUAGGCAUGUGCCACCACACCCGACCACAAAUAUCAGAUUUUUUUGCACAGCCAGGAGUCUCACUAUGUUGCGUAGGCUGAUCUUGAACUCCUGGCCUCAACUGGUCCUCCAGCCUCAGUCUCCCAAGUCUUUGGGAUCAUAAGCAUGAACCACUGAGCCUGACCUCACAAAUACCGUCUUAUACAUUAAAUUUCUUUAAUACCUCACCCCACCUAGACCUCAAGUCAGCUCUUUUUGGGAAUCCCAAGACUUUUUGCCCAUUCUUUUGUUUUUUUGUUUUUGUUUUUUAUUGAGAGAGAGUCUCGUUCUGUGACCCAGGCUGGAGGGCAGUGGCGCAAUCUCGGCUUAUUGCAACCUCCGCCUCCCAGGUUCAAUCAAUUCUCUUGCCUCAGGCUCCCAAGUAGCUGAGAUUACAGGCAUCCGCCACCAUGCCCUGCUAAUUUUGUAUUUUUAGUAGAGACAGAGUUUCACCCUCUUGGCCUGGCUGGUCUUGAACUCCUGAACUCAGGUAAUCCACCUGCCUCAGCUUCCCAAAGUGCUGGGAAUAUAGGCUUGAGCCAUUACACCUGGCCAAGCUUCACAUUUCUAAGGAACAGUUCCUUUUUUUUUUUUUGAGACAGGAUCUCACUCUGUCACCCAGGUUAGGGUACAAAGGCACAAUCACAGCUCACUGCAGCUUCAACCUCCCUGGCUCAAGUGAUCCUCUGGCCUCAGCUUCCCAAGAAGCUGGGAUUACAAGCGUGUGCCACCACAUUGAGCUAAUUUUUUUUUUUUUUUUUUUGAGGCAGUCUGCAGUCGCACGAUCUCUGCUCACUGCAACCUCUGCUUCCUGAGUUCAAGCAAUUUUCCUGUCUCAGCCUACCAAGUAGCUGGAAUCACAAGUGCGUGCCACCAUGCCUGGCUAAUUUUUGUAUUUUUAGUAGAGUUGGGGGUUUCACCAUUUUGGUCAGGCUGGUCUCAAACUCCUGACCUCGUGAUCCACCCACCUCGGCUUCCCAAAGUGUUGAGAUUACAGGUGUGAGACACCGUGCCCAGCCAGGUCCAAUUUUUUAAGAAUUGCUUUCUUCCCAGAGGAUCAAAAGCAGCUCAUAUAUAAUGACCCCGUUUUAUUCCUGACAUGCUUAAAAAUUCAUUUAUUUGCUCCUUGAGACAGUCAUUUGCUUUUUCAUUCAUUCACUUAUUUUUCACACAUUCAUUCAGCAGAUGUGUGCAAAUGAGAAAAGCUGGCAGUGGCAGGCAAUCUUGUACAUUCAGGACCUGAUUCCUGCCCUACACAAAGACAUAAAAAUCUUGCAAUCUUGUCCCGAAGAGGCGGCUAUCAUUCCCAAAGAAUAUCAAGGCCUUUAACCCACUGCCUGAGAGAGCCUGAUUGAAAUAGAAACCGUACUUUAGUUCUUCAGCAGGGCUUAUCUUGAAUGAUGCUGUGCCCUGCACAGCGCAUGACUCUCAACAGUGCAUGCUGAAUUGCGCAAGAGCAAGCCCGUGACCAUUUACCUUUGACAGAGUCUCCAUAAACACUCCAUGUACUUCCCUGAUCCCCCAAAAGCAUAAGUACACCUGGUUAUUCUGUUUAGCUCUACUUUGGAAGUGUAUAUUGUUUUUGUUUUUGUUUUUUUGAGACUGUCGCCAGGCUGGAGUGUAGUGGCAUGAUCUCGGCUCACUGCAACGUCUGCCCCCCGGGUUGGAGCGAAUCUCCUGCCUCAGCCUCCCGAGUAGCUGGGAUUGUAGGCAUGUGCCACCACACCCAGCUAAUUUUUGUGUUGUUUUUUUUUUUAAGACAGGGUUUCACCAUGUUAGUUAGGCUGGUCUUGAACUCCCCGACCUCAGGUGAUCUGCCCACCUUGGCCCCCAAAGUGCUUGGAUUACAGGUGUGAGCCACUAUGCCCGGCCAAUUUUUGUAUUUUUAGUAGAGACGGUUUCACCAUGUUGGCCAGGAUGGUCUCAAUCUCUUGACCUCAUGAUCCACUUGCCUCAGCCUCCCAAAGUGCUGGUAUAACAGGUCUGAGCCACUGGGCCCAGCUUGUUUUUGUUGUAGAGAUGGAGUCUUUUUUUUUCCUGAGAAAACAGUUUCGCUCUUGUUGCCCAGGCUGGAGUGCAGUGGCCUGAUCUCAGCUCACCCCAACCUCCACUACCUGGGUCCAAGUGAUUCUUCUGCCUCAGCCUCCUGAGUAGCUGGGAUUACAGGUGUGAGCCACCACAUCUGGCUUGUUUUGUAUUUUUAGAAGAGAUGGGGUUUCUCCAUUUUGGUCAGUCAGGUCUCAAACUCCCGACCUCAGGUGAUCCGUGCACCUCAGCCUCCCAAAGUGCUGGGAUUACAGGCGUGAGUCACCACGCCCAGCCUAGAGAUGGGAUCUUGCUCUGUCACUCAAGCUGGAAUGCAGUGGUGUGCUGAUGGCUCACUGUAACCAACUCCUGGGCCCAAAGGAUCUCCCUAUCUUAGCUUCCCAAAUAGCUGGACUGUGAGCACACAACACCAUGCCAUGCUAAUUCCUUUGUUUUAUUUUAUUUUAUUUAUUUCAUUUUUUUAUUGAGACAGAGUUUCUUGCUGCCCAGAUUGGAGUGCAAUGGUGCGAUCUCGGCUCACCACAACCUCUGCCUCCCGGGUUCAAGCGAUUAUCCUGCCUCAGCCUCCUGAGUAGCUGGGAUUACAGGUGCCGACCACCACGCCUGGCUAAUUUUGUAUUUUUAGUAGAGACGGGGUUUCACCAUAUUGGCCAGGCUGGUCUCAAACUCCUGAUCUCGUGAUCCGCCCACCUCCGCCUCCCAAAGUGCUGGGAUUACAGGUGUGAGCCACUGCGCCUGGCUUUUUUUUUUUUUUUAAGAGAUGGGGUCUUGCUGUGUUGCCCAGGUUAAUCUUGAACUCCUGAGCUCAAGCUAUCCCCCCACUUUGGCCUCCCAAAGCUCUGGGAUUAUAGACAUGAGUCACCACUCCUGGCUUUGGAAAUGUGUAUGUUGAUAUAAGCAUAUAAUCAAAGCAAUAACAUUAAUUCUUCCAAAGGAACUGCGGUGGAUAACGCAUGGCCCGGGCUUAGUGAGGUGCCCUGCUAGUCAACACCACCAUGUGCAUCUCUCUGAAGGGAACCACUUUCUCUGGCUGGAGUCGGCUUUGCCAGCAUGGUGAGAAUUGAGGGAGAAGUAGUAACAUCCUUCUAGCCCCAGCAAUUCUGUCUCUUCUUUUUUUUUUUUGAGAGGGAAUCUCACUCUUUCACCCAGGCUGGAGUGCAGUAGCAUGAUCUUGGCUCACUGCAGCCUCUGCCUUCCAGGUUCAAGCGAUUGUCUUGCCUCGGCCUCCCAGUAGCUGGGAUUACAGGCGUUUGCCACCAUGCCUGGCUAAUUUUUAUAUUUUUGAUAGAGAUGGGGUUUCAUCAUGUUGGUCAGGCUGGGCUCGAACUCCUGACCUCAGGUGAUCAGUCCGACUUGGCCUCUCAAAGUGCUGGGAUUACAAGUGUGAGCCACUGGGCCUGGUCUCUGUCUUCUUCUUUUUUUUUUUGAGACAGUGGUCUCACCCUGUUAACGAGGCUGGAGUGCAGUGGCAUGAUCACAGCUCACUGCAGCCUCCACCUUCUAGAUUCAAGUGAUCCUCCUACCUCAGCCUCCCAAGCAGCUCGGAUAUGUGUAUGCCACCAUACCUGGCUGAUUUUUGUAGUUUUUGUAGAGGUGGGGUUUCACCAUGUUGUUCAUGUUGGUCUUGAACUCCUAGGCUCAAGCAAUCUACCUGCUUUGGCCUCCCAAAGUGCUAGGAUUAUAGGUGUGAAAUAAUUCCUUAAUACCAAAUAUUCAGUGUUCAAAUAUUCCCGCUUAUCAUCAUCAUCAUUAAUCUAUUUACAUUUGUUUUAAAUAUGACCUAAGGCUGGGCGCGGUGGCUCACGCCUGUAAUCCCACCACUUUGGGAGGCCGAGGUGGGUGGAUCAUGAGGUCAAGAGAUCAAGACCAUCCUGGUCGAAAUGGUGAAACCCCAUCUCUACUAAAGCUACAUAAAAUUAGCCGGGCAUGGUGGCGCGUGCUUGUAAUCCCAGCUACUUGGGAGGCUGAGGCAGGAGAAUUGCCUGAACCCAGGAGGCGGAGGUUGCGGUGAGCUGAGAUCGCGCCAUUGCACUCCAGCCUGGGUAACAAGAGUGAAACUCCUUCUCAAAAUAAAUAAAUAAAUAGAUAAGACCUAAAAAAAGAUCCAUAUGUUUUGGUUGGUUAAUAUGACUCUUACGUUCCCUUUAAUCACUAGGUUCCCCCUUCUAAAAUCUGUUAUUCCUUGCAAUUUAUUGAAGAACAUUUGUCAUGUGUUCCUAUAUAGUUUCCUAAAAUCUGGAUUUAUGGCGGGGUGCAGUGGCUCACGCCUGUAAUCCCAGCACUUUGGGAGGCUGAGUUGGGCGGAUCACCGGGGGUCAGGAGUUCGAGACCAGCCUGGCCAACAUGGAGAAAGCCUGUCUCUAUUAAAAACAUAAAAUUAGCCGGAUGUGGUGGUAAUGCCUGUAAUCCCAGCUACUCGGGAGGCUGGGGCAGAAUUGUUUGAACCCGGGAGGCGGAGGUUGCGGUGAGCCGACAACUCUAACCUGGGCAAGGAGAGCAAAACUCUGUCUCAAAAAAGAAAAGGCCACAUCAUUCUGGUUUUUCUUUCCUAGUUUCUUUCUUUUUUGUUUCUGUUUUUGUUUUGAGACAGGGUCUCAGUCUGUCAUGCAGGCUGGAGUGGUGUGGCGGGAAUAUAACUCACCCCCCCCACCCCCGGCCUCCAGCGAUCCUCCGGCCUCAGUCCCCCGAGCAGCUGGGACUACAGGCACUUGCCCAAACACCCAGCUACAUUUUGCAUUUUUUGUAGAGAUGGAGUUUCUCCAUGUUGCUCAGGCUGUGAUAAUCUCUAACAGGGUUUAUAGGGGACCUUUUAAAUAUUGUCAUCACUCAGCAUCUUUUUCUUUCUUUUUUUUUCAUAUGGAGUCUUGCUCUGUCGCACAGGUUGGAGUGCAGUGGCAUGAUCUUGGCUCACUGCAAUCUCUGCCUCCUGGGUUCGAGUGAUUCUUCUUCCUCACUCUCCCAAGUAGUUGGGACUGCAGGCAUGUGCCACCACACCUGGCUAAUUUUUGUAUUUUUAGUAGAGAUUGGGUUUCACCAUAUUGGCCAGGCUGGUCUUGAAUUCCUGACCUCGUGAUCCGCCCGCCUCGGCCUCCCAAAAUGCUGGGAUUACAGGUGUGAGCCACCACAUCUGGCUUUUUUUUUUUUUUUUGAGGCAGUCUCCCUUUAUUGCCCAGGCUGGAGUGCAGUGGUGCGAUCUUGGGUCACUGCAACCUCCGCCUCCCGGGUUCAAGAGAUUCUUCUUUCCUCACCCUACCGAGUAGUUGGGAUUACAGGCUCCCGCCACCACACUGGGCUAAUUUUUGUAUUUUUAGUAGAGGCAGGGUUUCACAAUGUCUCGAACUCCUGACCUCGUGAUCUGCCCACCUGAGUCUCCCAAAGUGCUGGGAUUACAGGCGUGAGCCACCAUGCCCAGCCACCCAGAUUCUUUUGAAAACCCAUUCUAUGCGAAGACAUUAUGAGUUCUGCCUCCCCAAGUAGAAGAUAGACUCUUGUACCUAGCUUCCUGUGUAGCUAGCACUCCGGCAUACAGUGCAGGCUCGUCCAAUCAGACGCAGCUGGUAUCCAUUUAGAGGUGAGCUGUAUGAGGAUGAGAACUCUGCAGAGACACAAAGCUUUUGAGGGCAGUGGGAGCGGCUCUGGGAGGAGAGAUGCUUCUUGCACUUGUGAACUGCAGUACCUAGUGGUGGUGAAAAGCAGAGGCUCUGCUGAUAACAGUCCAGGAGCAAAAUUUGGGUAUUGUUCCUGGCUGUGUAGCCUCCAAGCCCAAUUCUCUAUCCCUCUCAGAGACUGUGUGAGUCAUUUAUAUCUUUAAGUACAUUCCUUGGCCGCUUAAACUAGUUAGAGUAGAUUCUGUUACUUGUAGCUAAGUUCCCUGACAAUUAUGGGGCUUCCAUGAUGUAGCUAAAUAUAGUGUCUUGGACAAGGAGGGGACAAAGUGCACCUGUAGCCUCUGGCCUUCCAGGCAGAUGAGAUAGUACAUUUUAUUAUUGUUUAUAUUACUCAGUUGGAUUUUCUGUUCUUUGUUCUUAAAAGCAUCCACGGCCAGGUGCAGUAACUCACGCCUGUAAUCCCAACACUUUGAGAGGCCGAGGUGGGUCACGUGAGGUCAGGAGUUUGAGACCAGCCUGGCCAACAUGGUGAAACCCUGUCUCUAUCAAAAAAUACAAAUAUAGGCCGGUCGUGGUGGCUCACCCUUGUAAUCCCAGCACUUUGGGAGGCCGAGGCGGGUGGAUCACGAGGUCAAGAGAUCAAGACCAUCCUGGUCAACAUGGUGAAACCCUGUCUCUACUAAAAAUACAAAAAAUUAGUUGGGUAUGGUGGCGCGCGACUGUAGUCCCAGCUACUCAGGAGGCUGAGGAGAAUUGCCUGAACCCAGGGAGGCGGAGGUUUCAGUGAGCUGAGAUCGCGCCAUUGUACUCCAGCCUGGGUAACAAGAGCGAAACUCUGUCUCAAAAAAAAAAUCCAUGGCCAGGUGCAGUAACUCACGCCUGUAAUCCCAACACUUUGAGAGGCUGAGGUAGGUCACUUGAGGUCAGGAGUUUGAGACCAGGCUGGCCAACAUGGUGAAACCCUGUCUCUAUCAAAAAAUACAAAUAUAGGCUGGGCAAGGUGGCUCACACCUGUAAUCCCAGUACUUUGGGAGGCUGAGGUGAGUGGAUCAUAAAGUCAAGAGAUCAAGACCAUCCUAGCAAACACGGUGAAACCCCGUCUCUACUUUUAAAAAUACAAAAAAAUUAGCUGAGUGUGGUGGUGCACAAAUGUAGUCCCAGCUAAUCGGGAGGCUGAGGCAGGAGGAUCACCUGAACCCAGGGGAGCGGAGGUUGCAGUGAGCUGAGCUCAUGCCACUGCACUCCAGCCCGCCGGCAGAGCAAGGCUCUGUCUUAAAAAAAAAAAAUAAUUAGCUGGGCAUGGUGGUGGGUGCCUGUAAUCCCAGCUACUUGGGAGGCUGAGGCAGGAGAAUCGCUUGAACCCAGAGGCAGAGGUUGUAGUGAGGCAUCAUGCCACUGCACUCCAGCCUCGGUGACAGCGAGACUCCAUCUCAAAAAAAAAGGCAUCCAGAUUGAUUCCAUGAGCAUCUUCAGUGUCUGGCUGCAUUUAGGAUAUGCUCAACACAUGUUCAUUCAUAAUCACCUUUUUAAAAUGACCUGAUAAUUCACAUACAAUUUUAUGAGUUUUGACAUGAAAACAUCACCCGUUAAGAUAAUUAACCUCUCCAUUGCACCUAAAUGUUUCUUUGUGCCUUGCUGCAAUCUUUCCCUCUUUCCUUUCACCUCAUCCACUUUCUGAUCCCCUUUCUGCCACUUUCUAGAAUUUUUGUUUGUUUGUUUGUUUGUUUGUUUGAGAUGGAGUUUUGCUCUUGUUGCCCAGGCUGCAGUGCAGUGGUGCGAUCUCAGCUCACUGCAACCUCUGCCUCCCAGGUUCAAGCUAUUCUCCUGCCUCAGCCUCCUGAGAAGCUGGGAUUAGAGGCGCUACCAUCAUGCCUGGCUAAUUUUUGUACUUUUAGUAGAGAUAGGGUUUCACCGUGUUGGCCAGGCUCAUUUCCAACUCCUGACCUCAGGUAAUCCACCUGCCUUAACCUCCCAAAGUGCAGGGAUUACAGGCGUGAGCCACCGAGCCUGGCCUUCUAGAAUUUUUUUAUAAAUCAAAGAAAACGUGUGUACUCUCUUUGGUCUUCUUUCACUCAGCAUAAUUUUUUUUUUUUUUUGAGACAGAGUUUUGCUCUUGUUGCCCAGGCUGGAGUGCAAUGGCACAAUCUCGGUUUACCACAACCUCCACUUCCUGGGUUCAAGCGGUUCUCCUGCCUCAGCCUCCCGAGUAGCUGGGACUACAGGCCACCACACCUGGUUAAUUUUGUAUUUUUUGUAGAGGCAGGGUUUCUCCAUGUUGGUCAGGCUGGUCUCCUAACUCCCCACCUCAGAUGAUCUGCCUGCCUCAGGCUCCCAAAGUGCGAGGAUUACAGACGUGAACCACUGCACCUGGCCAUUUAUUUAUGUGUUUAUUUUUGAGACUGAGUCUCAGUUUGUUGCCUAGGCUGGAGUGCAGUGGUGCAGUCGCUGCUUAUUGCAACCUCCGCCUCUUGGGUUCAAGCAAUUCUCCUGCCUUAGCGUCCAUAGUACCUGGGACUACAAGCGCCUGCCACCACACCUGGCUAAUUUUAGUAUUUUUAGUGGAGACGGGGUUUCACUAUGUUGUGUAGACUGGUCUCAAACUCCUGAUAUCAGGUGAUCUGCCUGCCUUGAUUUCCCAAAGUUCUGGGAUUAUAGGUGUGAACCACUGUGCCCAGCCAUUUCUUUAUUUUUAAUUAAUUAAUUAUUAUGAUUUUUUAGGGGGACAGAGUCUUGCUGCCUCCCAGGCUGGAGUAUAGUGGUAAAGUCAUGGCUCACCGCAGCCUCACAUUCCUGGGUUCAAGCAAGCCUCCUGUUUCAGCCUCCCAGGUAGCUGAGGCUACAGGCACAUACUACCACACCUGGCUGAUUUUGAAAUGUUUUGUAGAGACAGGGGUCUGACUACAUUGCCCAGGCUGGCAUAAUUAUUUUAAGAUUCAUUCCUGUUGUUGCAAACCACUGGGUUUGUCCAUUUAUUUAUUUAGUGACAGAGUCUCACUCUGUUGCCCAGGCUGGAGUGCAAUGGCAUGAUCUCGGCUCACUGCAACCUCUACCUCUCGGGUUCAAGCAACUCUCCUGCCUCAGCCUCCCCCGUAGCUGGGAUUAUAGGCACCCAUCACCACGCCAGGCUAAUUUUUGUAUUUUUAGUAGAGACAGGGUUUCACCAUGUUAGCCAGGCUGGUCUUGAAUUCCUGACCUCAGGGGAUCCACCCACCUAGGCCUCCUAAAAUGCUGAGAUUGCCGGUGUGAGCCACUUCGCCUGGCCGCCGCUGCUGCUUAAAGUCUGCUGGGACUACAGGCGCAUGCCACCAAGCUAACCAGCUGCAUUGGAACCACUUGGGGACACCUGUUAAUAUGUAGCUUUCUGGACCCAAGCCUGUCUUCUUGCAGGUGAGGUCCCAAGAAGGGAAGUGACUUCUUCAGGGAGUCAGGGCUCACCUCGGACAGGAACUCAAGUCCUCUGAUUCCAAGCUAGGAAGAAAAGUAGGGGGAAUGAGGAACAGGAAGUGUGUCCAGCUUUGACUCCUCUGUUUCCUAUGUAUUUUUCCUUUGGCUUCAAAUAUUAAGAGAAAGACCCAGUACUUUGGAACAAGGUGGCUUCCUGCCGAGGCUGGGUCUUAUGUGUAAUCCGAGGGCUCAGAUUGCUGUGGGCGGCAUCUCGGGUUUCUCAGCCACCUGCACAGACAUCCUCUGUUAAAGAAGGAAACCUGGACCAGGGACGGUGGCUCACGCCCGUAAUCCCAGCACUUUGGGAGGCCGAGGCAGGUGGAUCACGAGGUCAGGAGUUCGAGACCAUCCUGGCCAACAUGGUGAAACCCCGUCUCUACUAAAAAUACAAGAAUUAGCUGGGCGUGAUGGCUAAUUAAAAAUACACGAAUUAGCUGGGCGUGUGCCUGGAGUCCAGCUACUGGGGAGGCUGAAGCAGGAAAAUCACUUGAAUCUGGGAGGCAGACGUUGCAGUGAGCUGAAAUUGUGCCACUGCACUACAGCCUGGGCAACAGAGUGAGACUCUGUCUUAAAAAAAAAAAGAUAAUAUUUGAUGGCAUGUAAGGGCAUAAUAUAAAAUGGCAUUGUUAAAAUGAGGGUGCAGCGCCCAUCCCCUGAGGGACAGGGUCAUUUCUCUGGCCCGGAGCAGGUGCCCAUAGGCAAAGCUGCAUCUGCCUGGACUGGAGGAGCCUGCCCGGCCCCUGCUAGCUUCUGCCGUGUCAACUCCCCAGGCCUUGGCAGCUUCUCCUGCCUCCGCCCACUGACGCCCUAAGCUGGCCCAGGGGUGGAGCUGAAGCCUGGCCUGUCUCUGGCUUCCUCCUUACUCUGUCAGGCUCUGCCUAGUUUACCUGUCUGCCUGGACUCUCCUACCCACCUUUCUGUGCCCAUUCAAAGAAGGCAACUCUUGUAACAGGCUGGAGCCAGGAUCCUGCCUACCAGCUCCUUUCCUGAGCCAGGCCUCCUUUUUUUUUUUUUGAAAGUCUCGCUCUGUCGCCAGGCUGGAGUGCAGUGAUGCCAUCUUGGCUCACUGCAGCCUCCGCCUCCCAGGUUCAAGCGAUUCUCCUACCUCAGCCUCCUGAGUAGCUGGGACUACAGGCGCACGCCACCAAGCUAAGCUGAUUUUUUUGUAUUCUUAGUAAAGAUGGGGUUUCACCUUGUUGGCCAGGCUGGUCUGGAACUCCUGACCUCAUGAGCUGCCAGCCUUGGCCUCCCAAAGUGCUGGGAUUACAGGCAUGAGCCACAGUGUCCGGCACAUAAUUUAUUUAACCAGCCACCAUGCAGUUCCAAACUUUAGCUGUGAAAGCAAUGCUGCAGUGAAUGUGCUGGUGCUUAUGAUACAUGUCUGGGGUUUUGUGUACGUUAGUGUACAUUCCUGAAGUGGGAUUACUGGAACAAAGAAUGUGUGUAUUUCAUUUUUUGAUAGAGAUUACCAGUUUGCCCCCCAAAGGGGUUGUACCAAUUAACUUUCCCACCAACAAUGUUUGGUACUGCCUGUUUCAGGCACAUUCACCUCCAGCCUGGGCAACAUGGUGAAACCCCAUCUGUACAAAAAACACAAAAAUGAGCUGGGCAUGAUGUACCUCAACCUGGGAGGCUGAGGUAGGAGGAUCGAGGGAGCAUAGGAAGUCAGGCUGUAGUGAGCCAUGAUGGCGCUGCUGCACUCUAGCCUGGGGACAGAGGGAGACCCUAUCUCAAGCAAACAAACAAAAACCAAAGGACUCCUUCACCCACUUGAGUUAUUUAGUUUUGUUUGUUUUGCUGAUCUGAUAAGUGGAAUGUUCUUUCUCACAGUUUUAACGUACAUUUAAAAAACAUCCCCUGCCAGGCCGAGGUGGCUCACGCCUAUAAUCCCAGUACUUUGGGAGGCCGAGGCGGGCAGAUCAUCUGAGGCCAGGAGUUUGAGACAAACCUGGCCAACAUGGUGAAAGUGUGUCUCUACUAAAAAUACAAAAAUUAGCCGGGCAUGGUGUUGGGCACCUGUAAUCCCAGCUACUCAGUAGACUGAGAAAGGAGAAUCACUUGAGCCUGGCAGGCAGAGGUUGCAGUGAGCUGAGAUGGCGCCACUGCACUCCAGACUGUGUGACAGAGUGACACUGUCUCAAAAUAAAAUAAAAUAGGCCUGCCACAUUGGCUUACGCCUGUAAUCCCAGUACUUUGGAAGGCCGAGGUAGGCAGAUCACCUGAGAUCGGGAGUUUGAGACCAGCCUGAUCAAUAUGAUGAAACCCCGUUUCUGCCAGAAAUACAAAAAUUAGCUGGCUGUGGUGGCACAUGCCUGUAGUCACAGCUACUUGGGAGGCCGAGACAGGAGAAUUGCUUGAACUUGGGAGGCAGAGGUUGCAGUGAGCCGAGAUCACACCACUGCACUCCAGCCUGGGCAACAAGAGCAAAAUUACCUCUCAAAAUAAAUAAAAUAAAAAAUAAGACUGGGUGUGGUGGCUCACGCCCAUCCAAGCACUUUGGAGGCCAAGGUGGGCGGAUCACCUGAGGUUAGGAGUUCAAGACCAGCCUCACCAAACAUGGUGAAACCCCGUCUUUUAAGAAAAAAAUUUUUUUUAAAUUUAAUUUUACAAUUUAAAAAAUAAAAUAAAUAAUUGAAAUUGAAAAAAUAGUAAAGAAUUAAAAAAUAAUAAAAAAUAAAAUUUAAAAAAUAAAUAAUAAAACAUCUCCCCUCCCCCUUAGUAUACAUUUUUCAUAGAUUGGCUGCGUGUGGUGGCUCACGCCUAUAAUCCCACCACUUUGGAAGGCCAAGGCUGGUGGAUCACCUGAGGUCAGUUCGAAACCAGCAUGACCAACAUGGUGAAACCCCAUCUUUACUAAAAACACAAAAUUAGCCAGGUGUGGUGGCGAAUCCCUGUAAUCCCAGCUACUCAGGAGGCUGAGGCAGGAGAAUUGCUUGAACCCAGGAGGCGAAGGUUGCUGUGGGCCGCGAUUGUGCCACUGUAUUCCAGCCUGGGCAACAAGAGCAAAACUCCAUCUCAAAAAAAAAAGCCUCUACGAAAGAAACCCAGAGGCCAGUCUGUAAGUAGAGUGGGCUCUGGCCCGGCCCCAGGCUGAGGUACUGUGCCUCUCCUCCUCUCCCUGCAGAUGAGAUGGCCUGGCAGCCUGGACCCUUGGCCCUCCCAGGGGCUGUCUUCCUCACCCCCUCACCUGGGAUGAGGAGCAGUUUAUCUGGGGAGACUGGAGGAGGUGUGCUUUAUUCAGACCCCUGGUUUGUCCUGCUUUUCUCUCCCUGAGGGCUGGGACUUGGCCUCUGAGGCUGAGCAGGCAGAUUUGUGCAGGGCAAUGGCAGGAUGAGACCUGAUUUUAUUGGAACUGGGCUGGAAUGGGGAGGGAUCGGGGAGGAGGCUGCAGCAGGUCUGGAGAGUGAGAAUGAGCAAGCUGAGCAGCGGGAGGGACCCAGAGAUCUCAGAGAUGGCCCCACUGGGGCUGAUGGGCUGAGGAAGAAGAGGGGGAGAAGCAGACAGGCAACCCCAGGGAGAGGGGGGUAAUUUCAGGGGGAUGGUGGGUGAGUUGGAGGUUGUCUGUGGGAUGGACCAAGGACGUGAAGAAAUGUUUGUUGGAUGAAUGUCCUCCCAGAGGCUAAAGGAAUGGAGUAGUCACAUGCCCAACCCUGGGAUGUGAAUGUGGCCAGUCCGGCCACAGCAGGUUAAACCACCUCUGGGGUGUGUCCUCUCCCGGCUUUCCGCAGUCUGGUUCCUUGGAGGCUAAUGAACACAGGUGUCCCACUUGGUGGUGCUCCUUCUGCUGCUGUCUUUUGGCUCAGGGAUGGGUGGGUUGGGAAGUGGGUACUGACAGAUGGAGGGCGUGCUAUGGAGGCUGGAGGCUGGAGACUGGGGCCAGUGGAGCCCAGCCCUCAUCCAGGCUUUCAGAGUGUGUUUGCUGCUUGGCCUACUACGAUCAGCAGAUAGGGAACCAGGCCAGGAGGUGUUCUAGAUCUGUGCCUUGGUGUUCUAGAUUCUUCUCCUCCUUUGGCUCAUGUUUCCUUUUUCUUUUUCUUUAUUUUUUUUUUUUUUGAGGCAGAGUCUCACUCUGUCACCCAGGCUGGAGUGCAGCAGCAUAAUCUUGGCUCACUGCAACCUUCAUCUCCCAGGUUCAAGCCAUUCUUAUGCCUCAGCCUCCCUGGCCUACAUUUCUUCCAGUGGCUCUUGCCCAAUCCCAAAUGAAGACUUCUCAAAGGGGCAGCAAGAACUCCCAUUCUAAUCAUUUUAACCUCUUUUCUUAGGAUUGCCAGAUAAAAUACAGAAUACUCAGUUACCAGCCUGGGCAACAUGGCAAAACCCAUCUCUACAAAAAAAAAAAAAAAUUAGCCAGGCAUGGUAGCUUGUACUUGCAGUCCUAUCUUCUUGGGAGGCUGAGGUGUAUGGAUCACUUGAUCCCAGGAGGUUGAGCCUUCAGUGAACCAUGAUUAUGCCACUGUACUCCAGCCUGGGCCACAGGGUGAGACACUGUCUCAAAAGAAAAAAAAAGGGACACAGUUAAAUUUGAAUUUCAGAUAAUAAAUUAUUAUUAUUAAUUAUUAUUUGAGAUGGAGUUUCACUCUUGUUGUCCAGGCUGGAGUGCAAUGCCACAAUCUCAGCUCACUGCAACCUCUGCCUCCCAGGUUCAAGUGAUUCUCCUUUCUCAGCCUCCCGAGUAGCUGGGAUCACAGAUGCACGCCACCAUGCCCAGCUAAUUUUUGUAUUUUGCCUAGAGACAGGGUUUCAUCAUAUUGGUCAGGCUGGUCUCUCCUGACCUCAGGUGAUCCACUCAUCUCAGCUUCCCAAAGUGCUGGGAUUAUAGGUGUGAGCCACUGUGCCCGGCUUAUUAUUAUUAUUAUUAGAGACAGAGUCUCACUCUGUUGCUCGGGCUAGAGUGCAGUGGCGUGAUAUUGGUUUACUGCAACCUCUGCCUCAGGUGAUCUGCCUGCCUUGGGCUCCCAAAGUGCUGGGAUUAUAGGCGUGAACCAUCACACCCGGCCGAUUUUUCAGUGUAAGUAUAGUCCAAAUACUGCAUGGGAUAUAAUUAUACAAAAAAAUUUAGCUGCUUAUUUGAAAUUCAGAUGUAACUGUGUGUAUGUAUUUUUAUUUGUGGAAUCUGGCAGCCUUGCCAGUUCCUCCAUCACGGUUCCAGACAGCCACUGCCACCUGGUCCUGGUCCUGUGGAGCACCAGCACAACUGCCACUCUAAAGGGCACUGCGGACUCUCCCUCCAUCAUCUCACAGAUGGUCACAUGGCAGCUCUCGAAUGAGGGUGUUCACUUAUCUUUCACAAAUGAGAAAACGGAGACUCCAAGAAGCCAAGCGACCUGCAUGAGGGCAAACGGUAACCAAGGCGCAGGAGAACAUCCAGCCUUUGCCAGUCUGACUCCAAAGUUCAAGUGCAUAGAUGCACACCCCAGGUAGCUUGGCAAAGCACCCACUUUUUGAGCAGGAAGGCCUUCACCCUGCCGUUCACACAGGAGGAACAAGACAAAUAGCAUGCAGACCCCCAGGCACAGGAAGGAUGAGAUUCAGUGCUAGAAUAUUCGAAGUGAUUUUGAAACCAAGUGCCUCUUGGUAAUAACAAUCUCAGCAUCCGUCAUGCAUAACUUUCUUUUAUGCAUAAUGGUUAACAAAAGGUAUCUCCAGCAGUUAAUUAGAAUGACAAAGAAGGCAGAUGGAAGUGGGGCAUCGGUGGCUCACGCCUGUAAUCCCAGCACUCAGAGACCAAGGCAGUUGGCUCACCUGAGGUCAGGAGUUAGAGACCAGCCUGGCCAACCUGGUGAAAACUCAUCUCUACUGAAAAUACAAAAAAUUAGUUGGGUGUGGUGACGCUCCCUGUAAUCCCAGUUACUCGGGAGGCUGAGGCAGGAGAAUCGCUGCAAUCCGGGAGGUGAAGGUUGCAGGGAACUGAGAUCGUGCCACUAUACUCCAGCCUGGGCAGCAAGAGCGAGACUCCAUCUCAAAAACAACAGCAACAAAACAGAAACAAACAAAGAAGGCACAUGGGAGAGAGAACGAGGCCUGUAGGGUUUCUCGGCAGAUGCUGGGAGGUUUCCUGUGCUCCCGCCCGGACUUGCGGGGGUGGGUGGGUGCUGGGCAGACCCUUCUGGGCCUGCCGGAGCUUCCAGGAGCUUCUAGAUGAGGGUCUCGGACCACCGGCUCUGAGCGUGGGUCUGGCCUCGGUUCCAGUGGCCGAUUCCAGCUCUGCCUGCUGGCCCCCAUUGGGUGCAAACAUGCAUGGUUUACAGUUCCUGACACCACCUGCCUGACUGUAUUCCAGUGUCAGUGAGAGAAGUGUCAACCAGUCUCUGCUCUCAGCGAGCGUCUGAAAGACAACAGAUCCUCUGAGGGAGGGAGCUGGGAGCCCAGGCCCUCAAGAUGGGUUUGGGGUAAGCUGGAGAGGAGGGGCUUGGGACACCUGUGUGUGUGGGGAGUCCGGGGUGGGUAGGACGUUGGGCAGGAUGAGACUUAUGUAAAUCAAAUCUCAUCUGGUUGAGGGUCUUUUACCUCUGUUUUGAUCUGCGUUGGAAGAGACUGCCGAAUGCUUCAGUUUCUGAGUUUUU
This is an RNA transcript of Callithrix jacchus (white-tufted-ear marmoset), 24300 nucleotides long. RefSeq lists it as uncharacterized. NCBI's taxonomy places the organism in Eukaryota, Metazoa, Chordata, Mammalia, Primates, Cebidae. The record is from RefSeq and is a predicted model, not a curated record.